GACGAACGCUGGCGGCGUGCUUAACACGUGCAAGUCGAACGGUGAAGGGACCAGCUUGCUGGUUCUGGAUGAGUGGCGAACGGGUGAGUAACACGUGAGUAACCUGCCCCCUUCUUCUGGAUAACCGCAUGAAAGUGUGGCUAAUACGGGAUAUUCUGGGUCUGUCGCAUGGCGGGCCCGGGAAAGAUAUUGCUUCGGUGGGGGAUGGGCUCGCGGCCUAUCAGCUUGUUGGUGGGGUGAUGGCCUACCAAGGCGGUGACGGGUAGCCGGCCUGAGAGGGUGGACGGUCACACUGGGACUGAGACACGGCCCAGACUCCUACGGGAGGCAGCAGUGGGGAAUAUUGCACAAUGGGCGCAAGCCUGAUGCAGCGACGCCGCGUGAGGGAUGGAGGCCUUCGGGUUGUAAACCUCUUUCGCCAGUGAAGCAGGCCUGCUCCUUGUGGGUGGGUUGACGGUAGCUGGAUAAGAAGCGCCGGCUAACUACGUG
This 489-nucleotide ribosomal RNA is filed under the name uncultured bacterium. RNAcentral describes it as "partial 16S ribosomal RNA". It matches the Rfam family "Bacterial small subunit ribosomal RNA", at positions 28 to 507 of the family's 1533-position model. The record is from RNAcentral.